This 918-nucleotide ribosomal RNA is filed under the name Staurostoma mertensii. RNAcentral describes it as "12S ribosomal RNA". It matches the Rfam family "Bacterial small subunit ribosomal RNA". Lineage: Eukaryota; Metazoa; Cnidaria; Hydrozoa; Leptothecata; Laodiceidae. The record is from RNAcentral.
AGUUCUUUUGAUUUUGGAGAAGUAAAAGUAAGAAAAUUGUUUAUACAUGUUAGUGAAAGCGUAUAAGUGAAUAUAAAUUGAAACAUAUCAAUUCUUAUCAGGUUUAGUGAAAUAAAAUUUCAAUUUUCCUAAGACGAGUAGUUUUAAAACCACGUUUUAACUGUGACAAAGAAAAGUUUAACAGCAGUAAAGAAUACUAUACAAUUAAAGUAAUUUAGAUAUGGGAAUUUUCUUAAAUUUUGUCUAAUUAAGUGCCAGCAGACGCGGUUAUACUUAAAAGGUGAACUUUUACUAUAAAAUAGGUAACAAUAUGUGUAGAAAUAAAAAGAAUGUAUUAUGAAUGUUUUUGAAUUGGUUAAAUAAACAAAAAUUAGAAAACCUAAGAAGAAGUUAUAAUACUUAAUAAUUUGAAACAUGAAAAAAAGGGCAUUAAAUAGGAUUAGAUACCCUAGUAAACCUUUUAGUAAAUCAAGAAUAAUUUCUACCUGAACAGUAUACUUUUAAGAGUGAAAAUCAAAAAUUUUGGCUGUUUAUUUUCUAAUUAGAGGAGUAUGUAAUUUAAUUUGAUAAUCCGCAAAAAACCUUACCUAUUCUUGAAACCCAGGUGCUGCAUGGUCGUCGUCAAUCUAAUUAUAUAAUUUAGAUUCAAUCCAAACUAGGACUAAGUCAGAUAUUAUGGCCCUUAUGAAUAGGGAUAUUAUGUACUACAAUAUUUAAGUUAAUUUAAACUUAAAAAUGAAUUAUUAAUGAAAUUUAAUAUGAAAGAGAAUUUAAUAGUAAUUGAAGAUAUAAUGCUUCAAUGAAUAAGUUCAAAUAUGAGUACAAAUUGCCCGUCGCCUUUAUUGAUAAUUAAUUUUAAAAAUAGAGCAAGUCGUAACAUAGUGGGGGGAAGGGAACUUCUCCCUGAAGAAAUAAAAA